GACGAGUCAGAAUAAUGUCAAAGUGCUUACAGUGCAGGUAGUGAUAUGUGCAUCUACUGCAGUGAAGGCACUUGUAGCAUUAUGGUGACAGCUGC
RNAcentral lists this microRNA precursor (95 nucleotides) under Cervus elaphus hippelaphus. The stretch from base 9 to 86 matches the Rfam family "mir-17 microRNA precursor family". From Rfam's summary of the family: This family represents the microRNA (miRNA) precursor mir-17, family, which includes mir-20, mir-91, and mir-103. miRNAs are transcribed as ~70nt precursors (modelled here) and subsequently processed by the Dicer enzyme to give a ~22nt product. In this case the mature sequence comes from the 3' arm of the precursor. The record is from RNAcentral. Lineage: Eukaryota; Metazoa; Chordata; Mammalia; Artiodactyla; Cervidae.